RNAcentral lists this ribosomal RNA (931 nucleotides) under Leptoxyphium fumago. Its description in RNAcentral is "partial large subunit ribosomal RNA". It matches the Rfam family "Eukaryotic large subunit ribosomal RNA", at positions 24 to 978 of the family's 3401-position model. The record is from RNAcentral. Lineage: Eukaryota; Fungi; Ascomycota; Dothideomycetes; Capnodiales; Capnodiaceae.
CCCGCUGAACUUAAGCAUAUCAAUAAGCGGAGGAAAAGAAACCAACAGGGAUUGCCUCAGUAACGGCGAGUGAAGCGGCAAAAGCUCAGAUUUGAAAUCUGGCGUCUUCGGCGUCCGAGUUGUAAUCUGUAGAGGAUGCCUUUGGGUGGCCACCGGUCUAAGUCCCCUGGAACGGGGUGUCACAGAGGGUGAGAAUCCCGUAUGUGACCGGGAAGGCGCCCUAUACAUGGCUCCUUCGACGAGUCGAGUUGUUUGGGAAUGCAGCUCUAAAUGGGAGGUAAAUUCCUUCUAAAGCUAAAUACCGGCCAGAGACCGAUAGCGCACAAGUAGAGUGAUCGAAAGAUGAAAAGCACUUUGGAAAGAGAGUUAAAAAGCACGUGAAAUUGUUGAAAGGGAAGCGCUUGCAACCAGACUUGUUGGCGGUGUUCCGCCGGUCUUCUGACCGGUCUACUCACCGUCUGCAGGCCAGCAUCAUCUGGGGCCGCUGGAUAAAAGCGGAGGGAAUGUGGCUCCUCCGGGAGUGUUAUAGCCCUCUGUGUAAUACAGCGAGUCCCGGGUGAGGUCCGCGCUUCGGCUAGGAUGCUGGCGUAAUGGUCGUAAGCGGCCCGUCUUGAAACACGGACCAAGGAGUCUAACAUCUAUGCGAGUGUUCGGGUGUCAAACCCCUACGCGUAAUGAAAGUGAACGGAGGUGGGAACCUUUUAGGUGCACCAUCGACCGAUCCUGAUGUCUUCGGAUGGAUUUGAGUAAGAGCAUAGCUGUUGGGACCCGAAAGAUGGUGAACUAUGCCUGGAUAGGGUGAAGCCAGAGGAAACUCUGGUGGAGGCUCGCAGCGGUUCUGACGUGCAAAUCGAUCGUCAAAUUUGGGUAUAGGGGCGAAAGACUAAUCGAACCAUCUAGUAGCUGGUUCCUGCCGAAGUUUCCCUCAGGA